Long non-coding RNA from Scylla paramamosain (green mud crab), 2020 nucleotides. RefSeq lists it as uncharacterized. NCBI's taxonomy places the organism in Eukaryota, Metazoa, Arthropoda, Malacostraca, Decapoda, Portunidae. The transcript is spliced from 4 exons. The record is from RefSeq and is a predicted model, not a curated record.
UUUGUUUUAGUGACACGUCAGGCGUUCUGAUAGAAGCUCACUGUCAUUUAUUAAUAUGGCUACCAAGUUGAGGGAGGUGAAGAGAAAAGUGCCACUGUUUGGGAGGAGGAAAACUCACAAUGUGGAUUAUUUAGAAACAGCCAUGUUUAAGAUGCGGCAUGGAGACGAAGAAGUUUCAUGUCUUUAUCAACGAAGCUGCUAAACUGUACCCACCGCCAUCGGUCUGACAAUAUCAACACCACACCGGGACAACGGUGGAUGCAAGCAUGUCGUCGCCUUCAUCUUUGCUGUUGUGGAUUUUGUCAAGCAAUUUGAGAUGCAGUCUGGAACUGUGAAACUGACCUGCACAAACAUACCUUGCACCUGUGAUAAACUUCACAAAGUAAAUGAAAUGAAAAGCUGUGCAACAUUGAAAACAGGUACUUACCCUUCAAAACAAUUUAUGCACUUUGGGAUGCAGUAAGGAACCAGAUUGACUAUCACCACUUUUGAUGACCACUAGUGGUUUCUUGAACUUCUGUGGAAGAGACAAGGUGUUAGAUACUGAUACUGAUGUGCAGGGAAAUAGAAAAUAAUAAUAAUAAAAAUAAAUGAGUUAAUAAAUAAAUAAAAAUUGCUGAAAACAAGCUAAUGAAUGGGGAACAUAUCCUGUGUGAUGUGUUGCUUAACCCACUGACUACUUCCAUCACUGAGGGCUACAUCAAUGAUCUUGACUUGGAUUACUUAAAAGAAACUUAUUUAUGCUACUAAUGGUCAUGGAAACAAAGAAUGUUUGUAAAACCAAUAAACAGAGCCUGGAGAAUAUAUGUUUGCUAUCCCUGUUGUGCUGUAACAUUUGUAGACUGACUGUUGGUGAGGGUAGGUGCACACCACAGCACUUUUUGGAUACUGGAGGAUCUCAAGUAAGGCACAAAAAAGGCUGCUUUCAUAAGGAAAAAUAAGAAUUAAACCUGUUACUAAAUUCCAUUCAUUCACUGGAAGGAGGAAGCUGGAAUGAGCAAGCUGAGUGGACUAAGGUGAAUGUGUAAGCUGAGUGUUGGUUGGCCAUUGUCAUUUAUUCCCCAUUCAGGUAUUUCUUUGUUUUUACUGCAUUUUACAUUAUGUUGCAAUUCAUAUGGUCCAUCAUAUUUCAUGUAUACUAAAAGAUGAUAAGCGCAAUAUUCCAGCCUAUAAAGAAUAAAGAAUUGAUGAACAAAAUCUCUCAAAGAAUGCAUCAUCAAUGUUGCCAAGUAUGUGAGUAGUACACACAACAGUUUUCAAUACAUUCAAAUAAAAAUCUUGCACUAUUGCAGUAUUUUUAUUAUAAUUCAUUAAUACUAAAAGACAAUAAUAAUCAAAACACUCAAACUUACCAUGUGAAAUAAAGGAAUAAAGAGCAAAACAUAUUUGUGAAUGUUGUGGAAAUUUCCACUAUUGUGCAUAAUACCAAUGCCUUAUUGGUUUAUGGUGUGAUUUGUAUAUAAAUUGUAAAGUUAAAUUAAGGGAUAAUUAAGGUUAAUUUAGUAAAAACUAAGUAUUAGUUGCUUUUAUAAAUAAAUUGGGAAUUAGAGAUAUGGAGAUGAUUAUAGGUAGCUAUUGUUUUUGAUAUAGGAAGGAGCCCACGAGGAGUGGAACUGCCUGACUCGCAGCUGCCUUUCAAGUCAUAUCUACUCCACUUUGAAUAUUCACUAAGUUGCUAAGAACUUAGAACCCCGGAAACCUGCACAGCAGCAAAUAAUCUGUCUUUGCUAUGAAAACACAGUUAGCCACUGGCCUGGAAUGCACAGUGACACCAACUCACCACCGACCACAGCCAGCCCAAACCACAGGAGUUGCUAGUCCAAAGGCCUGGCUCAGGAGUGAUCCUGUGCCACCUGUACCAUCAAGAUCCUUGCUGACCAGACUUGAAUCAACAAUGAGACACUGGUUUCAGAGCCUGUUAAAGCACACAAACACUUUGAGGUGGUGGUGGUGGUGGGAGAGUGGGAGUACCUUCAGUCCUCUUCCCUCACCCACCAAGACCGAGGAGCAGUGAAGGCGU